Molecule: ribosomal RNA, 440 nt
Filed under: uncultured bacterium
Lineage: Bacteria
Description: partial 16S ribosomal RNA
Rfam family: Bacterial small subunit ribosomal RNA
Source: RNAcentral
CCUACGGGAGGCAGCAGUGGGGAAUAUUGCACAAUGGGGGAAACCCUGAUGCAGCGACGCCGCGUGAGCGAUGAAGUAUCUCGGUAUGUUAAGCCCUAUCAGCAGGGAAGAAAAUGACGGUACCUGACUAAGAAGCCCCGGCUAACUACGUGCCAGCAGCCGCGGUAAUACGUAGGGGGCAAGCGGUAACCGGAUUUACUGGGUGUAAAGGGAGCGUAGACGGGGAUGCAAGCUAGAUGUGAAAGCCCCGGGCUCAACCCCGGGAGUGCAUUUGGAACUGUAUAGCUGGAGUGGCAGAGAGGCACGCGGAAUGCGUAGUGUAGCGGUGAAAUGCGUAGAUAUUAGGAAGAACACCGGUUGCGAAGGCGGCCUGCUGGACGAAGACUGACGUUGAGGCACGAAAGCGUGGGGAGCGAACAGGAUUAGAUACCCCUGUAGUC